UUAUUUAGUUUAAUUAUGGCUUAAAAAAGCACAACUUAGAAGUCACAUAGUAAGAGUUAUUUUUUUUAUUUGAUUUAAACAAUUCGGUUAUUUUUUCUAGUGAUGAAUAUUUUUUUAGAUGUUAAAUCAUGCUAAAGUCUAAGUUAUUAUAGUGGAAAAUUCACAGUGCCAGCAUCCGCGGUUAUUCUGUUAACUAUUGUUUUUUUGAUGUAUUUAAUAUUAUUCUUUUUAUUCUUAUUAAAAUUUAAAAUUAUUAUAUAGAAUUUAUAUUUUUGGAUAAUUUUAUUAAUAAAUCUGUAUAUAAAACAGGAAUUUGAUACUCCAUUAUUUCAGAUAAUAUUAAAGAUUUAGUAUAAACUAAAAUAAUUUGGCAGUUAGCUACUCUUUACUGGGGAUGGUGUUUUGUAAAAGAUGAUCCGCUUUAAAUUUAACCUUAUUUAAUUAGUUGGUGUAUGUCCGGUUUUUUAUUAGUAAUCAUAGUUUAUUUUUUACUAAGUGUAAAUUUAUAUACACAUUUUAUAUUAUUAUUUAAGUUAGGUCAACAUGCUACUUAUAAUAAGGUCCUUAAAUUCCAUACUUUUAUAAUAAGAAGGUUGAAAAUUUAAAAUUCAGGACUAGUGAGUAAAAUAAUUAAAAAUGAUUAUUUGAAAGUAGUUUAGCUUUUGUACAUACCGCCCGUCAUCCUCGGUGUUAGUUGAGGUAAGUCGUAACAUGGUAGCUCUACAGGAAUGUGGAGCUAGGAAAAAUUUUU
Molecule: non-coding RNA, 751 nt
Filed under: Benedenia seriolae
Lineage: Eukaryota; Metazoa; Platyhelminthes; Monogenea; Capsalidea; Capsalidae
Source: RNAcentral